RNAcentral lists this ribosomal RNA (481 nucleotides) under Bacillus thuringiensis. Its description in RNAcentral is "bacterial SSU rRNA". It matches the Rfam family "Bacterial small subunit ribosomal RNA", at positions 68 to 538 of the family's 1533-position model. Lineage: Bacteria; Bacillati; Bacillota; Bacilli; Caryophanales; Bacillaceae. The record is from RNAcentral.
UGGAUUAAGAGCUUGCUCUUAUGAAGUUAGCGGCGGACGGGUGAGUAACACGUGGGUAACCUGCCCAUAAGACUGGGAUAACUCCGGGAAACCGGGGCUAAUACCGGAUAACAUUUUGAACUGCAUGGUUCGAAAUUGAAAGGCGGCUUCGGCUGUCACUUAUGGAUGGACCCGCGUCGCAUUAGCUAGUUGGUGAGGUAACGGCUCACCAAGGCAACGAUGCGUAGCCGACCUGAGAGGGUGAUCGGCCACACUGGGACUGAGACACGGCCCAGACUCCUACGGGAGGCAGCAGUAGGGAAUCUUCCGCAAUGGACGAAAGUCUGACGGAGCAACGCCGCGUGAGUGAUGAAGCUUUCGGGUCGUAAAACUCUGUUGUUAGGGAAGACAAGUGCUAGUUGAAUAACUGGCACCUUGACGGUACCUACCAGAAAGCCACGGCUACUACGUGCCAGCAGCCGCGGUAAUCCUAGGUGGCAAG